UUACUUAAAUGGAAUUGAAUGGGAUGUUUAGGCGCUAAUUUUAUAACUUUACAUAACAUUACUGACCCCUGUGAGUUCCCCAAAUGUUGGAAUUUCUGUUGCAUAAUUUAUGGUAGUGGGGGAUCCAUUUGUGCUCCCCCUG
RNAcentral lists this small nuclear RNA (142 nucleotides) under Paramormyrops kingsleyae. RNAcentral describes it as "U1 spliceosomal RNA (ENSPKIG00000001007.1)". It matches the Rfam family "U1 spliceosomal RNA". From Rfam's summary of the family: U1 is a small nuclear RNA (snRNA) component of the spliceosome (involved in pre-mRNA splicing). Its 5' end forms complementary base pairs with the 5' splice junction, thus defining the 5' donor site of an intron. There are significant differences in sequence and secondary structure between metazoan and yeast U1 snRNAs, the latter being much longer (568 nucleotides as compared to 164 nucleotides in human). Lineage: Eukaryota; Metazoa; Chordata; Actinopteri; Osteoglossiformes; Mormyridae. The record is from RNAcentral.